GGCUCAGGACGAACGCUGGCGGCGCGCCUAACACAUGCAAGUCGAACGAGAGAUGAGGAGCUUGCUCUUCAAAUCGAGUGGCGAACGGGUGAGUAACGCGUGAGGAACCUGCCUCAAAGAGGGGGACAACAGUUGGAAACGACUGCUAAUACCGCAUAAGCCCACGGCUCGGCAUCGAGCAGAGGGAAAAGGAGCAAUCCGCUUUGAGAUGGCCUCGCGUCCGAUUAGCUAGUUGGUGAGGUAACGGCCCACCAAGGCGACGAUCGGUAGCCGGACUGAGAGGUUGAACGGCCACAUUGGGACUGAGACACGGCCCAGACUCCUACGGGAGGCAGCAGUGGGGAAUAUUGCACAAUGGGGGAAACCCUGAUGCAGCGACGCCGCGUGGAGGAAGAAGGUCUUCGGAUUGUAAACUCCUGUUGUUGAGGAAGAUAAUGACGGUACUCAACAAGGAAGUGACGGCUAACUACGUGCCAGCAGCCGCGGUAAAACGUAGGUCACAAGCGUUGUCCGGAAUUACUGGGUGUAAAGGGAGCGCAGGCGGGAGAAUAAGUUGGAAGUGAAAUCCAUGGGCUCAACCCAUGAACUGCUUUCAAAACUGUUUUUCUUGAGUAGUGCAGAGGUAGGCGGAAUUCCCGGUGUAGCGGUGGAAUGCGUAGAUAUCGGGAGGAACACCAGUGGCGAAGGCGGCCUACUGGGCACCAACUGACGCUGAGGCUCGAAAGUGUGGGUAGCAAACAGGAUUAGAUACCCUGGUAGUCCACACCGUAAACGAUGAUUACUAGGUGUUGGAGGAUUGACCCCUUCAGUGCCGCAGUUAACACAAUAAGUAAUCCACCUGGGGAGUACGACCGCAAGGUUGAAACUCAAAGGAAUUGACGGGGGCCCGCACAAGCAGUGGAGUAUGUGGUUUAAUUCGACGCAACGCGAAGAACCUUACCAAGUCUUGACAUCCUGCGACGCACAUAGAAAUAUGUGUUUCCUUCGGGACGCAGAGACAGGUGGUGCAUGGUUGUCGUCAGCUCGUGUCGUGAGAUGUUGGGUUAAGUCCCGCAACGAGCGCAACCCUUAUGGUCAGUUACUACGCAAGAGGACUCUGGCCAGACUGCCGUUGACAAAACGGAGGAAGGUGGGGAUGACGUCAAAUCAUCAUGCCCUUUAUGACUUGGGCUACACACGUACUACAAUGGCGUUAAACAAAGAGAAGCAAGACCGCGAGGUGGAGCAAAACUCAGAAACAACGUCCCAGUUCGGACUGCAGGCUGCAACUCGCCUGCACGAAGUCGGAAUUGCUAGUAAUCGUGGAUCAGCAUGCUGCGGUGAAUACGUUCCCGGGCCUUGUACACACCGCC
This 1352-nucleotide ribosomal RNA is filed under the name uncultured bacterium. RNAcentral describes it as "16S ribosomal RNA". It matches the Rfam family "Bacterial small subunit ribosomal RNA", at positions 21 to 1394 of the family's 1533-position model. The record is from RNAcentral.